UGUUAGGAUAUUAAUAGUUAAGUUCUUUAAAUCCAAAGAAUUUGGCGGCAUUUUAUUCCAUUCAGAGGAACCUACCCCAUAAUUGAUAAUACACGAUUUGAUUAACUUAAUUUGAUUGUUUGUAUAUCUCCGUUAUCAGAAAAUCUUUUUAGAGUUUUAUAAUUUUCAAAAUUUUAAAUUGAAGAUAAUUUCAGGUCAAGGUGCAGCUAUAAUUAAGAGGAGGUGGGUUACAAUAAUUUAAGAUUUACGGUUUUAUAAAUAUAAAUUUUUAAUUAAGUUGGAUUUGAUAGUAAUUUGAUU
This 300-nucleotide ribosomal RNA is filed under the name Prosphena scudderi. RNAcentral's name for it is "partial 12S ribosomal RNA". The record is from RNAcentral. Lineage: Eukaryota; Metazoa; Arthropoda; Insecta; Orthoptera; Pyrgomorphidae.